GGACUGUGGUCUGCAACCCGACCACACGAAGCUGGAAUCGCUAGUAAUCGCGAAUCAGAAUGUCGCGGUGAAUACGUUCCCGGGUCUUGUACACACUGCCCGUCACACCAUGGGAGUCAGCAACGCCCGAAGUCAGUGACCUAACCAUAAAGGGAGGAGCUGCCGAAGGCGGGGCCGGUAACUGGGGUGAAGUCGUAACAAGGUACC
RNAcentral lists this ribosomal RNA (207 nucleotides) under uncultured bacterium. RNAcentral's name for it is "partial 16S ribosomal RNA". It matches the Rfam family "Bacterial small subunit ribosomal RNA", at positions 1295 to 1500 of the family's 1533-position model. The record is from RNAcentral.